UAAUUUUUCUUACAUGGUCAGUACUGAGAGAUCUUUUUUAAACAACUAAAUUUGUUUUAUCAUCAUGUUAAUUAAAUGAUCAAUAUCCAGUGACUCUUCAACUAUUGAUUAGGGAAUCAGAGAUGAUCCUAUGAGACGCAAAAUUUAUCCACUUAGACGAGAGACUGUAUAAAAAGUAGAGGUAAAAGAUUUACAAAUGUGAACAGAAGAGUGUUAUAUUUGGUUCAGUCAUGUUGAUUCGUUUUUCACGUUUGAACACGAUGAGGAUGGUGAAGAUGAUGAUGAAGGAGGAAGGAAAGAUGACAAUAGGAAAUAUAUUUUUUUUGUAUAUAAAAGGAAACAUUGAAAAGCUCAAGUAAAAAAACAAGGUUCAUCAAUAAGAAUCUUCAUUGACCGUCUCAAUGGACAGUGUAUAACAAAGCCAAAUAUAAAAUUGAAUCCAUGUUGAGGUAUAUUCUCAGGUGACUGCUUCUGAUUCUUUUCUUACUCUCAUUUUCACCUUUAUACUCUCAAUUUAUUUAUAUAACUAUCUAUAGCAAUCUGUACCACAUUCAUUUUUUUCACUUCAUUUUCAACCCAUUUUGUUUUCUUUUUUUUCCCUUGUCUUCAACUUAUGUUUCCCUCCAUUUAAUCUAUCCUCAACCUUUACUGUUACCUUGUUUAACUUUAUAACCACCAUAGGGAUCUUUAAAUGCUCUCAAUUCAAUCUGAAUCUGUUCUUUUGGGCUCAUUUCUUUGUUUGCUUUAUCACCAUCUCCUUUGAAGUAAGCAAAAUAUUACAUAUCGCCAAUUGAUCAACUGGAAAGAUAACCAUAACCUGGUCAAAAUCACCGCAGUGACAGUUGAUCAAAUAAAUGGACAGGUUAUCAGGUAGGAUCAUUCCUUCACCAAUCAUUCCAGUUGAAAAUCAGCCGAUGAAAUAAAACCUGGAUCUUAAUGUAGAGACUUUUCGGGGACCCAAAUAGCAAUCCAAUGAAGCAAUGCAAAAAGUUUUGGUCAUUUUCUUAAUCUUAUCCACCUGGCUCUCACAAGUUUGAUCGGGAUGGUUGAAAUGAUGUCGCUUAGCCUUAACAAAUGUGAUUACUGCGUUUGUCGAUAGCAUUGAUUAUGUUUCUUAUUGAGAGGCAGAAAGAGUCUCAGCUGAAGAAACAACUAUUGGCUUCUGAUAAAUCACCGAAAUGGACGAGAUCGAAUAAACAAUGAAAAAAUUGUCAAAUUUUUACACAUUUUUUCAAUGAUUAGUUUUGGUAUUGCAUUUGUCUACAAUCAUCUUUCCAGGUCAAAUUGUAAACACCAUGACCUACUUAUGCGAAGAAACCUUAACCAAAGUCAAAUAUCCUGAAAAGACUUGAAAAUAGCUGAAAAUUUGUCACAGAAUAAGGAAGAUGAAAGGAAGAUAAAGAAAGACGAAAGUAACAAUCAAUGGACAUUUGAAGGUGGACAAAACGAUAAAGUAAAACUAAUCAGUUAAUUGGCUUUUACAGUUAAAUCGUUUCUUUUUUUGUAAAUUCAUGGAUUUGGAUUUGGAAGUAAAUUUGUUGAAAUUGAUAAUUCUGGUUCCUUGAAAUGCAGUCUGAAAAUACAUUACCUGUGGCUUAUAAUGACAAAUUUAUCUGAAAUUGAGAGUAAACUUGAACUGAACUCAAUGAGCCAAGGAUGAUAAUAUGGAUGAAGGAUGGUGAAAAGUGGAAAGCAAAGAAAGAUGAUAAAGGUUGAAAUGAAAAGAGGAGGAAAAAAAGGACCAAGUGACAAGUAAAAAAAAGACAAGGAAAAAACACGGAAACAAAAUACAAUCAAAAAAAGAUUUUGUGUGUCACUGAAAUUAGUUGGGUGAUGAUGAUGAUAAGAAUGAGGAAAAAGUAAAGAAGAAAGGCCGAAAGAUACAAAGCAAGGAUCAUCUAAAAAAGAGCAUCUUCCAAAAUUGAACAUCAUAUUAGGACCAACAAAAGGCUGGAUAACAAGUUUAACAACACUUUUUUUUCGAGGUUGAAGCAUAAGGAUAAACUUUCCUCUUCUUUUGGCUUGGCUUAUAAUAGAGGAAAGACGAGAUGAUGCAGGGCUGAGGAUGCAAAUCGAGCAGAUGGGGCAAAAGAUGAGGACGAUUUUGAUGAUGAUGAUGAUGAUUAUGAUGAUGGUGAUAAAGUUUACAAGAGACGAAAGGCUCGAUUCAAAUAGAGGGAGGAGAUGGAGGAGGAUGGGGAGGAGAAGAACAAGAAUAAAAGUGAAAAAAGAAAGGAAAAAUUAGUGUUCAGUUACAAUAGCCAUUUGAUUGUACAAAGUUGAUCACUUUGAUUAUGAUGAAGAUGAUGUCCAAAUGUUAUUUUAGUUGAGGGUGAAAUUACUAUUUGAAUGGUGAAAGGGAAAAAGUAAUAAUAUAAAACAAUGAAUUGUAAAAUUAGGUUGGCAGAGUAACAAUGAAAAUGAUAUUGGAUUGAUAAAUUG
Molecule: long non-coding RNA, 2442 nt
Organism: Tetranychus urticae (two-spotted spider mite)
Lineage: Eukaryota; Metazoa; Arthropoda; Arachnida; Trombidiformes; Tetranychidae
Source: RefSeq, a predicted model, not a curated record